Molecule: ribosomal RNA, 254 nt
Filed under: uncultured bacterium
Lineage: Bacteria
Description: partial small subunit ribosomal RNA
Rfam family: Bacterial small subunit ribosomal RNA
Source: RNAcentral
AGGACGAACGCUGGCGGCGUGCUUAACACAUGCAAGUCGAGCGGAAAGGCCCUUCGGGGUACUCGAGCGGCGAACGGGUGAGUAACACGUGAGCAACCUGCCCUUAGCUUCGGGAUAGCUCCGGGAAACCGGAAUUAAUACCGGAUAUGACCACGGCCGACAUCGGCCAUGGUGGAAAGUUUUUCGGCUAGGGAUGGACUCGCGGCCUAUCAGCUAGUUGGUGAGGUAACGGCCCACCAAGGCGACGACGGGUA